Molecule: ribosomal RNA, 161 nt
Filed under: uncultured bacterium
Lineage: Bacteria
Description: partial 16S ribosomal RNA
Rfam family: Bacterial small subunit ribosomal RNA
Source: RNAcentral
GACGCCGCGUGAGUGAUGAAGGCCUUCGGGUUGUAAAGCUCUGUGGGGAGGGACGAAAGACUGAGGUCUAAUAGGCUUCAGGUUGACGGUACCUCCUUAGCAAGCACCGGCUAACUCUGUGCCAGCACCUGCGGUGACUGAGCGGGCUGGCAAGGCGCAUA